AGGGCGCAUGGUGAAUGCCUUGGCACUAACAGCUGAUGAAGGACGCGACAAACAGCGAUAUGCUUCGGGGAGCCGUAAUACGCUUUGAUCCGGAGAUUUCCGAAUGGGGGAACCCGUCAUUUAGUGACAUCUCUUAGUGAAUAUAUAGCUAAGUUGAUAGUAACCCAGAGAACUGAAACAUCUAAGUACCUGGAGGAAAAGAAAGAAAAUCGAUUCCCUUAGUAGCGGCGAGCGAAUUGGGAAGAGCCUAAACCAGUCUUCGGACUGGGGUUGUAGGACCACAACAUGAGACAUUAUUUUUAUAGCAGAAAUAGCUGGAAAGCUAUACUAUAGAGGGUGAUAGUCCUGUACGCGAAAUAAAAAUAAGCUCUAGUGGUAUCCUGAGUAGGGCGGGAAAUGUUAUCCUGUCUGAAUCUGCCGGAACCAUCCGGUAAGGCUAAAUACUAGUUAGUGACCGAUAGUGAACAAGUACUGUGAAGGAAAGGUGAAAAGAACCCCGGGAGGGGAGUGAAAUAGAAUCCUGCAACCAUGUGCUUACAAAAAGUCAGAGGCCGUUAAGGGCUGAUGGCGUGCCUUUUGCAGAAUGAACCGGCGAGUUAAUGUUGCAUGCGAGGUUAAGUAGAAGAUACGGAGCCGCAGCGAAAGCGAGUUUGAAUAGAGCGUUUAGUAUGCAGUAUUAGACCCGAAACCAGGUGAUCUAACCAUGAGCAGGUUGAAGUUUGGGUGAAACCAAAUGGAGGACCGAACCGACUUACCCGGAAACGUGAGCGGAUGACUUGUGGCUAGCGGUGAAAUUCCAAACGAACCUGGAUAUAGCUGGUUCUCCCCGAAAUAGGUUUAGGCCUAGCCUUAAGCUAAUCUAUAUGGAGGUAGAGCACUGAAUGAUUGAGGGCUUCUAGUGAGGUACCAAUUUCAAUCAAACUCCGAAUGCCAUAUAGUAAUACUUAGGAGUCAGUGUAUGGGUGAUAACGUCCAUACGCGAGAGGAAAAUAAUCCAGAUCGCCAGUUAAGGUCCCAAAAUUUAUGCUAAGUGGGAAAGGAUGUAGAGUUGUCAAAACAGCUAGGAGGUUGGCUUAGAAGCAGCUAUCCUUUAAAGAGUGCGUAAUAGCUCACUAGUCGAGUGACACUGCGCCGAAGAUGUACCGGGGCUAAGCAUAAUACCGAAACUGCGGGUUUAUAUUUAUAUAUAAGCGAUAGGGGAGCGUUGUAAUGGCACUGAAGGUAGACCGUGAGGACUGCUGGAGCGAUUACAAGUGAGAAUGCCGGUGUGAGUAGCGCAAGACGGGUGAGAAUCCCGUCCACCGUUUGCCUAAGGUUUCCUGGGCCAGGUUCGUCCUCCCAGGGUUAGUCGGGACCUAAGGUCAGGCCGAAGGGCGUAGCCGAUGGACAACAGGUUGAUAUUCCUGUACUGUAUAUAAGACUGAUGGAAUGACGAAGAAAGAUAUAAGGAGCCAGUUAUUGGAUUCUGGUCUAAGCACAAAGAUUGAUAAAUAGGGAAAUCCGUUUAUUAUAAGAUUGAAGUGUGAAUGCGGGCUACUGAAGAGUAGCUGAAGUCCUUAGACUCUAUGCUUCCAAGAAAAGUUUCUAAAGAUAUGUUAUAUACACCCGUACCGAGAACCGACACAGGUGGGCAAGGAGAGUAUCCUAAGGUGAGCGAGAGAAUUAUGGUUAAGGAACUCGGCAAAAUUACCCCGUAACUUCGGGAGAAGGGGUGGUUGGGAGUCUAGCUUGUCUAGAUAAACUCAACCCGCAGCAAAGAGGUCCAGGCGACUGUUUACCAAAAACACAGCUCUCUGCCAACUCGUAAGAGGAUGUAUAGGGGGUGACACCUGCCCAGUGCUGGAAAGUUAACAGAGUCACUUAGAUUUGACGUAAGUCGAUUUUAUCGAAGGUGAUGAUCGAAGCUCCAGUGAACGGCGGCCGUAACUAUAACGGUCCUAAGGUAGCGAAAUUCCUUGUCAGGUAAGUUCUGACCCGCACGAAAGGUGUAACGAUCUGGACGCUGUCUCAACCAUAAGCUCGGUGAAAUCUUAAUACCUGUGAAAAUGCAGGUUACCCGCAUCAGGACGGAAAGACCCCAUGGAGCUUUACUAUAACUUGAUAUUGGAUUCUGACUAUUAUUGUAUAGGAUAGGUGGGAGACUAUGAGAAUAAGGCGCUAGCCUUAUUGGAGUCAACCUUGUAAUACCACUCUUUAAUAGUUAGAAUUCUAACCUGGAACCGUGAUCCGGUUCAGGGACAGUGUCUGGUGGGUAGUUUGACUGGGGCGGUCGCCUCCCAAACAGUAACGGAGGCGUCCAAAGGUUCCCUCAGAAUGGUUGGAAAUCAUUCGUAGAGCGCAAAGGUAUAAGGGAGCUUAACUGCGAGACAUACAGGUCGAGCAGAUACGAAAGUAGGGCUUAGUGGGCCGGCGAUUCAGAAUGGAAUGGUCGUCGCUUAACGGAUAAAAGUUACCCUGGGGAUAACAGGCUGAUACCACCCAAUAGUUCACAUAGACGGUGGUGUUUGGCACCUCGAUGUCGGCUCGUCUCAUCCUGGAGGUGAAGUCGCUUCCAAGGGUUGGGCUGUUCGCCCAUUAAAGAGGCACGCGAGCUGGGUUCAGAACGUCGUGAGACAGUUCGGUUCCUAUCCGAUGUGGGCGUUGGAAAAUUGAGAAGAGCUGCCCUUAGUACGAGAGGACCGGGGUGGACAUACCGCUGGUAUAUCUGUUGUAGCGCCAGCUGCAGCGCAGAGUAGCUAUGUAUGGAAAGGAUAACCGCUGAAAGCAUCUAAGCGGGAAGCCCCCUUCAAGAUGAAUUUUCCCAUUGU
RNAcentral lists this ribosomal RNA (2807 nucleotides) under human gut metagenome. RNAcentral's name for it is "bacterial LSU rRNA". It matches the Rfam family "Bacterial large subunit ribosomal RNA". The record is from RNAcentral.